Molecule: small RNA, 129 nt
Filed under: Drosophila guanche
Lineage: Eukaryota; Metazoa; Arthropoda; Insecta; Diptera; Drosophilidae
Source: RNAcentral
AAUUUGUUGCUGCAACUGUUGCUGCUGCUGCUGCUGCUGCUCUGUUGGCGUAGGAUUCGAGGGAUUUUGAUUUGCUGCUGCCGCAGCGGCGGCCGACGAGUCCAAGAGCAAUUGCUGCACCUGCAAUAU